RNAcentral lists this small nuclear RNA (106 nucleotides) under Catagonus wagneri (Chacoan peccary). The record is from RNAcentral. Lineage: Eukaryota; Metazoa; Chordata; Mammalia; Artiodactyla; Tayassuidae.
GUGCUCACUUAGGCAGCACAUAUACUAAAAGUGGAACGAUUCAGAGAAGAUUUGCAUGGCCCUGUGCAAGGAUGACAUGCAAAUUUGUGAAGUGUUGCACAUUUUU